GUCGAGCGAGAAGCUACCUUCGGGUAGUGGACAGCGGCGCACGGGUGAGUAACGCGUACACAAUCUACCUUAUAGAGGAGAAUAGCCCUGGGAAACUGGGAUUAAUGCUCCAUAGUAUUACACUUUGGCAUCAAGGUGUAAUUAAAGCUCCGGCGCUAUAAGAUGAGUGUGCGUACUAUUAGCUAGUUGGUAAGGUAACGGCUUACCAAGGCUACGAUAGUUAGGGGGCGUGAGAGCGUGACCCCCCACACGGGUACUGAGACACGGACCCGACUCCUACGGGAGGCAGCAGUAAGGAAUAUUGGACAAUGGGCGCAAGCCUGAUCCAGCCAUCCCGCGUGGAGGAUGACUGCCCUAUGGGUUGUAAACUCCUUUUAUUUGAGAAGAAACGCCUGGAUUUAUCCGGGCCUGACGGUAUCUUAUGAAUAAGCACCGGCUAACUCCGUGCCAGCAGCCGCGGUAAUACGGAGGGUGCAAGCGUUAUCCGGAAUCACUGGGUUUAAAGGGUGCGUAGGUGGUUUAGUAAGUCAGAUGUGAAAGCCCGGCGCUCAACGUCGGAAUUGCAUUUGAUACUGCUGAACUUGAAUCAGGUUGAGGUGGGCGGAAUGUGGCAUGUAGCGG
This 621-nucleotide ribosomal RNA is filed under the name uncultured bacterium. RNAcentral's name for it is "bacterial SSU rRNA". It matches the Rfam family "Bacterial small subunit ribosomal RNA", at positions 61 to 681 of the family's 1533-position model. The record is from RNAcentral.